Molecule: ribosomal RNA, 622 nt
Filed under: uncultured bacterium
Lineage: Bacteria
Description: bacterial SSU rRNA
Rfam family: Bacterial small subunit ribosomal RNA
Source: RNAcentral
CCCGCGGUGCAUUAGCUAGUUGGUGAGGUAACGGCUCACCAAGGCCACGAUGCAUAGCCGACCUGAGAGGGUGAUCGGCCACACUGGGACUGAGACACGGCCCAGACUCCUACGGGAGGCAGCAGUAGGGAAUCUUCGGCAAUGGACGAAAGUCUGACCGAGCAACGCCGCGUGAGUGAAGAAGGUUUUCGGAUCGUAAAACUCUGUUGUUAGAGAAGAACAAGGAUGAGAGUAAAAUGUUCAUCCCUUGACGGUAUCUAACCAGAAAGCCACGGCUAACUACGUGCCAGCAGCCGCGGUAAUACGUAGGUGGCAAGCGUUGUCCGGAUUUAUUGGGCGUAAAGCGAGCGCAGGCGGUUUCUUAAGUCUGAUGUGAAAGCCCCCGGCUCAACCGGGGAGGGUCAUUGGAAACUGGGAGACUUGAGUGCAGAAGAGGAGAGUGGAAUUCCAUGUGUAGCGGUGAAAUGCGUAGAUAUAUGGAGGAACACCAGUGGCGAAGGCGGCUCUCUGGUCUGUAACUGACGCUGAGGCUCGAAAGCGUGGGGAGCGAACAGGAUUAGAUACCCUGGUAGUCCACGCCGUAAACGAUGAGUGCUAAGUGUUGGAGGGUUUCCGCCCUUCA